RNAcentral lists this microRNA precursor (74 nucleotides) under Medicago truncatula (barrel medic). Its description in RNAcentral is "MIR5272 microRNA precursor family". It matches the Rfam family "MIR5272 microRNA precursor family". The record is from Rfam by way of RNAcentral. Lineage: Eukaryota; Viridiplantae; Streptophyta; Magnoliopsida; Fabales; Fabaceae.
UUUGAAGAUAAUUGAUUUAUGUUUGGAUACAUUAUCCUUAAAGUGAUUCUUAUCAAUUCAUGUUGUUUGGAUAG